RNAcentral lists this small RNA (723 nucleotides) under Histoplasma ohiense. RNAcentral describes it as "hypothetical lncRNA". The record is from RNAcentral. Lineage: Eukaryota; Fungi; Ascomycota; Eurotiomycetes; Onygenales; Ajellomycetaceae.
GCAGACGGCGUAAAAUUCGAUGUAAUAGGCAAACUCCCUGUGGAAACUGUGUGCGUUCCAAGAGCGGUCACUGUGUUUAUGGCGAUGAGCCACUCCGGACUCCGUUACGCAAUCUUGCACCGGCUCAAGGAUCACGGAAGCAAGUCCAUAUAUUGCCUGCUUCCGAGUCUCCUAGUGUUGGAAGUGACUCGACGACAGUAAGUCGAGUGGUAGGGUCGAUAGUGACGAGCUCAGCAACCCCCUUGACUGCUGCUUCUCAGCCAUCCCAUGAAGUGGAGUACUUGAAGAACAGGGUUAGAUUACUUGAAGAAGAGCAUUUAUCCCAAGCAACUGCGAAGGCGGCGGCAUCUCCGAAUUCCACCUCAACGCCAGCUUUAAACAUAGAAACAACAUCGUCAUCCCUCGCAGGAACAUUCUCUGUUCGUCGCGAAAGCCAUGCACCGGGAGGAACACCAACUAUCAAUCGCGGUAUCUUUCAUAAAAGUCGCCUAUUUGGACAGAGUCAUUGGGCUAAUGGGAUGGAAUAGCUCCUUCGAGGCCUUCUCGAGAUAAUCGAACCACAUAUACAGAAUAGAUCCAGACUCGCUUCCGGCCUACAGAGGUGUAAACUCCUAGCAAAGAUCAUAAAGGCGCAGUUGGCACCUCCGUGGCCAGUACCACCAACAUCCGAUUUACCACCAAAAGCACUCGCCGACAAGCUCCUGGACUGCUAUCUGCGAACCA